CCUACGGGUGGCAGCAGUGGGGAAUCUUGGGCAAUGGGGGAAACCCUGACCCAGCGACGCCGCGUGGGGGAUGAAGGCCUUCGGGUUGUAAACCCCUGUUCGGUGGGACGAAUAUUUUCCCAUGAAGAGUGGGAAGAUUUGACGGUACCACCAGAGUAAGCCCCGGCUAACUCCGUGCCAGCAGCCGCGGUAAUACGGAGGGGGCAAGUGUUGUUCGGAAUUACUGGGCGUAAAGGGCGCGCAGGCGGCUUGGCAAGUCGAGUGUGAAAGCCCUCAGCUUAACUGAGGAAUGGCGCUCGAAACUACCUGGCUUGAGGGCGGGAGAGGGAAGUGGAACUCUCGGUGUAGGGGUGAAAUCUGUAGAUAUCGAGAGGAACACCGGUGGCGAAGGCGGCUUCCUGGCCCGUACCUGACGCUGAGGCGCGAAAGCGUGGGGAGCA
This 440-nucleotide ribosomal RNA is filed under the name uncultured bacterium. RNAcentral describes it as "bacterial SSU rRNA". It matches the Rfam family "Bacterial small subunit ribosomal RNA", at positions 338 to 770 of the family's 1533-position model. The record is from RNAcentral.